This 301-nucleotide ribosomal RNA is filed under the name uncultured bacterium. RNAcentral describes it as "partial 16S ribosomal RNA". It matches the Rfam family "Bacterial small subunit ribosomal RNA", at positions 509 to 807 of the family's 1533-position model. The record is from RNAcentral.
CAGCCGCCACGGGAAUACAGAGGGUGCAAGCGUUAAUCGGAAUUACUGGGCGUAAAGCGCGCGUAGGUGGUUUGUUAAGUUGGAUGUGAAAGCCCCGGGCUCAACCUGGGAACUGCAUCCAAAACUGGCAAGCUAGAGUACGGUAGAGGGUGGUGGAAUUUCCUGUGUAGAGGUGAAAUUCGUAGAUAUUGGGAAGAACACCGGUGGCGAAGGCGGCAACCUGGUCCGAUACUGACGCUGAGGCGCGAAAGCGUGGGGAGCAAACAGGAUUAGAUACCCCGGUAGUCCCUGUCUCUUAUAC